CAGUAGCCGCGGUAAUACAGAGGGUGCGAGCGUUAAUCGGAUUUACUGGGCGUAAAGCGUGCGUAGGCGGCUAAUUGAGUCGGAUGUGAAAUCCCCGAGCUUAACUUGGGAAUUGCAUUCGAUACUGGUUAGCUAGAGUGUGGGAGAGGAUGGUAGAAUUCCAGGUGUAACGGUGAAAUGCGUAGAGAUCUGGAGGAAUACCGAUGGCGAAGGCAGCCAUCUGGCCUAACACUGACGCUGAGGUACGAAAGCAUGGGGAGCAAACAGGAUUAGAGACCCGCGUAGUCCCUGUCUCUUAUAC
This 301-nucleotide ribosomal RNA is filed under the name uncultured bacterium. Its description in RNAcentral is "partial 16S ribosomal RNA". It matches the Rfam family "Bacterial small subunit ribosomal RNA", at positions 509 to 807 of the family's 1533-position model. The record is from RNAcentral.